Molecule: ribosomal RNA, 293 nt
Filed under: uncultured bacterium
Lineage: Bacteria
Description: partial 16S ribosomal RNA
Rfam family: Archaeal small subunit ribosomal RNA
Source: RNAcentral
GUGCCAGCAGCCGCGGUAAUACCUGCAGCCCGAGUGAUGACCGAUCUUAUUGGGCCUAAAGCGUCCGUAGCUGGCCUCGCAAGUCCGUCGGUAAAUCCAGUAGCUCAACUACUGGGCGUCCGGCGGAAACUACAAGGCUUGGGACCGGAAGGCUCGAGGGGUACGUCCGGGGUAGGAGUGAAAUCCCGUAAUCCCGAACGGACCACCGAUGGCGAAAGCACCUCGAGAAGACGGCUCCGACAGUGAGGGACGAAAGCUAGGGUCUCGAACCGGAUUAGAAACCCGAGUAGUCC